GAUGGUCAGGCAGUUGUUAAACUGUCUCUCUAAAAAAAUAAUUGGUUACAGCCAGUGCCGUGGAAAGGCAGUCUCCCAGCAGAUAGAAACACCUGAAACUGGUGAUCAGCUUCCCAGUAAGGUCUCAGGAGUUGCGCAAGUGGGCUCAAGCAUGCGCAUUAAGAGGCAAAAUGGCGGAGUUUAACUGGUAGAUGACCUUGCACGGACAUUUGACUGGUACGGGAAGAACGCUUCAAAUGAGCAUACAUACAGCUCCGGUAAACACACUGCACGUGUGGCACCUCCAAGAGCGGGCAGGCAACUGCACAGGCAGACAGCCCACCCCAAGGGCAGAAUCAGGGAAGAAGAGACGCAGGACCCCGGAAGCAUGCCAACGUCACACCGCGCACUUCAUCCCUCAAGUCACCCGCGUGGCCCUCUUGCGAGUGAGCUUUGCUUCCUUUCGUUCCUGGGGUCUCACUCUGUCGCCAGCUAGAAUGCAGUGGCACAAUCCCAGCUCAGUGCAGCCUCAACCUCCAGGGCUCAAGUGAUCCUCCCACCUCAGCCUCCUGAGUAACUG
Molecule: long non-coding RNA, 559 nt
Filed under: Homo sapiens (human)
Lineage: Eukaryota; Metazoa; Chordata; Mammalia; Primates; Hominidae
Description: non-protein coding lnc-ZFP42-1:2
Source: RNAcentral